This 485-nucleotide ribosomal RNA is filed under the name uncultured Nocardioides sp. RNAcentral's name for it is "bacterial SSU rRNA". It matches the Rfam family "Bacterial small subunit ribosomal RNA", at positions 1 to 507 of the family's 1533-position model. Lineage: Bacteria; Bacillati; Actinomycetota; Actinomycetes; Propionibacteriales; Nocardioidaceae. The record is from RNAcentral.
AGUAGUUGACUCUCGGCUCAGGACGAACGCUGGCGGCGUGCUUAACACAUGCAAGUCGAGCGGUAAGGCCUCUUCGGGGGUACACGAGCGGCGAACGGGUGAGUAACACGUGAGUAAUCUGCCCUCCACUUUGGGAUAAGCCUCGGAAACGGGGUCUAAUACCGGAUAUGAGCUUCCUACGCAUGUGGGUUGCUGGAAAGUUUUUCGGUGGGGGAUGUGCUCGCGGCCUAUCAGCUUGUUGGUGGGGUAAUGGCCUACCAAGGCUUCGACGGGUAGCCGGCCUGAGAGGGUGACCGGCCACACUGGGACUGAGACACGGCCCAGACUCCUACGGGAGGCAGCAGUGGGGAAUAUUGGACAAUGGGCGGAAGCCUGAUCCAGCAACGCCGCGUGAGGGAUGACGGCCUUCGGGUUGUAAACCUCUUUCACCUCCGACGAAGCGAAAGUGACGGUAGGGGGGAGAAGAAGCACCGGCCAACUACGUG